CCUGAUAAAGCCAAACUCAUCGCGAGGUGGGGACGGAAAGCCACGGAUCUUCUCAUGUAAGAUAGCCGGGUUACCUGGA
RNAcentral lists this non-coding RNA (79 nucleotides) under Candidatus Vecturithrix granuli. RNAcentral describes it as "Bacterium UASB270 c-di-GMP sequence". It matches the Rfam family "c-di-GMP-I-GGC riboswitch aptamer". Lineage: Bacteria; Candidatus Moduliflexota; Candidatus Vecturitrichia; Candidatus Vecturitrichales; Candidatus Vecturitrichaceae. The record is from Rfam by way of RNAcentral.